AGAGUUUGAUCAUGGCUCAGAUUGAACGCUGGCGGCAGGCUUAACACAUGCAAGUCGAGCGGUAACAGAGAGUAGCUUGCUACUUUGCUGACGAGCGGCGGACGGGUGAGUAAUGCUUGGGAAUAUGCCUUUGAGUGGGGGACAACAGUUGGAAACGACUGCUAAUACCGCAUAAUGUCUACGGACCAAAGGGGGGGACGCUUCGGCACCUCUCGCUCAUAGAUUAGCCCAAGUGAGAUUAGCUAGUUGGUAAGGUAAAGGCUUACCAAGGCGACGAUCUCUAGCUGGUUUGAGAGGAUGAUCAGCCACACUGGGACUGAGACACGGCCCAGACUCCUACGGGAGGCAGCAGUGGGGAAUAUUGCACAAUGGGCGAAAGCCUGAUGCAGCCAUGCCGCGUGUGUGAAGAAGGCCUUCGGGUUGUAAAGCACUUUCAGUUGUGAGGAAAGGAGUGUAGUUAAUAACUGCAUUCUAUGACGUUAGCAACAGAAGAAGCACCGGCUAACUCCGUGCCAGCAGCCGCGGUAAUACGGAGGGUGCGAGCGUUAAUCGGAAUUACUGGGCGUAAAGCGUGCGUAGGCGGAUUGUUAAGUGAGAUGUGAAAGCCCCGGGCUCAACCUGGGAACUGCAUUUCAAACUGGCAGUCUAGAGUAUUGUAGAGGGUGGUGGAAUUUCCAGUGUAGCGGUGAAAUGCGUAGAGAUUGGAAGGAACAUCAGUGGCGAAGGCGGCCACCUGGACAAAUACUGACGCUGAGGCACGAAAGCGUGGGGAGCAAACAGGAUUAGAUACCCUGGUAGUCCACGCCGUAAACGAUGUCAACUAGCUGUCUGUAGACUUGAUCUGUGGGUAGCGAAGCUAACGCGAUAAGUUGACCGCCUGGGGAGUACGGCCGCAAGGUUAAAACUCAAAGGAAUUGACGG
RNAcentral lists this ribosomal RNA (921 nucleotides) under uncultured bacterium. RNAcentral's name for it is "bacterial SSU rRNA". It matches the Rfam family "Bacterial small subunit ribosomal RNA", at positions 8 to 916 of the family's 1533-position model. The record is from RNAcentral.